Molecule: ribosomal RNA, 253 nt
Filed under: uncultured bacterium
Lineage: Bacteria
Description: partial 16S ribosomal RNA
Rfam family: Bacterial small subunit ribosomal RNA
Source: RNAcentral
GACGGAGGGGGCAAGCGUUGUCCGGAAUUACUGGGCGUAAAGGGCGCGUAGGCGGCUCAUUAAGUCGGUUGUGAAAGCCCCGGGCUCAACCCGGGGAGGCCAGCCGAUACUGGUGGGCUUGAGUGCAGGAGAGGGAAGCGGAACUGCCGGUGUAGCGGUGGAAUGCGUAGAUAUCGGCAGGAACACCCGCGGCGAAGGCGGCUUCCUGGACUGCUACUGACGCUGAGGCGCGAAAGCCAGGGGAGCGAACGGG